This 13932-nucleotide long non-coding RNA is filed under the name Gossypium raimondii (Peruvian cotton). Its description in RNAcentral is "long non-coding RNA (GRAI_LNC005827)". Lineage: Eukaryota; Viridiplantae; Streptophyta; Magnoliopsida; Malvales; Malvaceae. The record is from RNAcentral.
UCAGCAAGCUGUUUAUGUUUCAUUUUGUAAUUUUAAGUUAGAGUAAUGUAACUUAGUUGCAUUAUAACUAUGUUAGGUUUAUGUUUGAUGUAAUUUUGAUGUUGAUUGAGCUGAUAAAUCAGCUUUGUUUAUUUGUUCAAGCUAAUUAGCACAAGUUACUAUGUGUAUUAGUGGUAGUAGCUGAAGUUUAGGUCAACCUACUGUUUUGUCAAGAUUGUAAACUUGUUUUAUGUAUUGGCUUUGUGCCAUAUUCAGUUUGUAGAAUGAAAUCAAUGAAGUUUUCAUCUCUAUGCUCUCUAUUUUAGUUUUAUUUCAAAAUCUGUUUGAGUUUUCUGCUUUGUUUCUACUGCAAGUCACGAGACUUGCUCGACAAGCAUUCUGCUGAAGCUUGCUGCUGUUGCACUUAGAUCCAACAAUUGGUAUCUAGAGCCAUAUUCUUAGAGGACCUGUUGUAGUUUAGUAUCAAAACCAUGGCAUCAUCAGGUUUUUCACCAGCUUCACCACCUGUCUUCAAUGGAGAGGGCUUCAACAUUUGGGCAGUUAAGAUGAGGACUUACCUGCAGGCAUUCGACCUAUGGGAAGUUGUUAACUCAGAUGCUGAGCCAGCACCUCUUCGAGCUAAUCCAACAGUUGCUCAAAUGAGGCAACACGCUGAUGAAAGAACAAAAAGGCACAAGGCCAUGUCAUGCAUAUAGAAUUGUGUGACAAAUGUGAUCUUUAUGAGGAUCAUGGCCUGUGAAACACCAAAGGAGGCUUGGGACAAGCUGAAAGAAGAAUUUCAGGGGACUGAGAGAACAAGGCAACAAUAGCUGCUCAAUUUAAGAAGAGAUUUCGAAAAUCUCAAAAUGAAAGAGGAAGAAACAGUUAAGCAGUACUCAGAUCGGAUUAUGGUUGUUGUAAACAGCAUAAGGCUCCUUGGAGAGCAAUUCAGUGAAGCUAGAAUAGUUGAGAAAGUUAUGUCCACUCUACCAGAGAGGUAUGAAGCCAAAAUUUCAUCUCUCAAAGACUCAAGGGACUUGACAACUAUCUCUUUAACUGAGCUAAUCAAUGCCUUGUAUGCACAAGAGCAAAGAAGAGCCAGCAGACAAGAGGAGCACCAGGAAGGUGCUUUUCAAGCCAAAACAAAAGAAGCCUCGAGCACCAAUGCUCAUAAAGGCAAAAAGUUCUAGAAAAACAGGCCUAAGCCUGAUGCUGCUAGAAGCAGUGACCAACUCUGCAGACAUUGUAAAAGAGCUGGUCAUCCAGAAGAUAGAUGCUGGUUUAGACCAGAUGCAGGAUGCCAACACUGCAAGAAAAAGGGCCAUGUUGAAAAGGUUUGCAAGAACAGAAGCAAACCAAGACAGAAUCAAUUUCAGCAACAAAAGGCAGAAGCUCGAGUAGCUGAAGAAAGCAGUGAUCAAGAAGAACAUGUUUUUGCUGUGUCAUGUGCAGCAAGUCAGAAGAAGAGUUCAAAGGGCUGGCUUCUAGACAGUGGGUGCACAAACCACAUGUCACCAGAUGCAACUAUCUUCAAAACCUUGGACAGAACCUGCAAAACCAAGGUGAAAAUUGGAAAUGGUCAGUUUAUUAAUGCUGAAGGAAGAGGAGAUGUGCUGAUUCAUACCUCUACAGGUAGCAAAAUCAUUUCAAAUGUACUUUUGGUACCUGAAAUCGAUAGGAACCUUCUCAGUAUAACUCAACUACUUGAGAAAGGUUACUCAGUUGUGUUCCAGGAGAAAGAAUGCCAAAUUUUUGAUCCAAGUGGAUCAAAUCUCAUAACAGUCACCAUGACUGAUAAAUGUUUUGAAGUAGACUGGCCAAAUGACUUGCAUUCAGCCUGCAUAGCCUUCACUGAUGACUCUAGACUCUGGCACCAGAGGCUUGGACAUGCAAACUUCAAAUCCAUAGCCCGAAUGGUCAAUGAAGGACUUGCUGAAAAUUUCAUCGAUUCAGUGAAGAAUGAUGAGCUUUGUGAGAUAUGUCAGCAAGGAAAAUUGGCAAGAUUGCCAUUUCCUACAGGCACAACAUGUAGAGCAUCAGAGAAGCUGCAGCUUGUGCACACUGAUGUGUGUGGACCAAUGAAGACCGAGUCUCUCAAAGGAAGCAGGUACUUUAUACUCUUUAUUGAUGAUUUGACAAGAUACUGCUGGAUUUAUUUUCUAAAGCAAAAAUCAGAAGUUGCAUCUGUGUUCUUGAAGUAUAAAGCUGCUGUUGAAACUGAGUCUGGUUGCAAACUUAAAGCACUGAGGUCAGAUAAUGGAACUGAGUACACCUCAGCUCAGUUCCAAGCCUACUGUGAAGAAGCAGGCAUCAAACACCAGUUGACUAAUGUGUAUACACCCCAACAGAAUGGGGUCAGUGAAAGGAAAAAUAGAAGCUUGAUGAACAUGGCAAGAUGUCUUAUGUUUGAGAAGAAUUUGCCCAAAACUCUGUGGGCUGAAGCUGUUAACACAGCAGUUUAUCUCCAAAACAGGCUCCCAACUAAGGCUCUGGCUGAGAAGACUCCGUUUGAAGCCUGGUUUGAGUUUAAGCCAUCACUAGCUCAUCUCAGAACCUUUGGUUGUCUGUGCUACACUCAAGUUCCAGCUGAGAAAAGAAGCAAACUAGAUAAAAGAGCUCAAGCAGGGAUCCUGAUCGGCUAUAGUUUGGUUAAAAAGGGUUACAGAAUCCUAAAACCUGCUACAAACAAGAUACUGGUUAGCAGGGAUGUUGUCUUCAAUGAAAAAGGAUACUGGAAUUGGGAAAAGGCUAAGCCAGAGGCAGUGGCUGAAGAUCUGGCAUUGGACCAAGCUGAAGAUAAUGAAAACACACUUGAAAUGGAUGUAGAUGAUGUUCCAAUCAGAUGUACUCGAUCACUGGCUGAUGUUUAUGAAAGAGCACAAGUGGCCACUGUUGAACCAAGUUGCUUUGAAGAAGCAGAGAGCCAGGAGGGGUGGAAGCAGGCAAUGAUUGAAGAAAUCAGAAUGAUUGAAAAGAAUCAGACCUGGAGUCUGAUUGAAAGACCAACAAACAGGAAGAUUAUUGGUGUCAAAUGGGUUUAUCGAGUUAAGAACAAUGUUGAUGGUAGCCUAAACAAGUUAAAGGCUAGACUGGUUGUGAAAGGCUUCAGUCAAAGGUAUGGAUCAGACUACCUGGAAACCUUUGCACCAGUGGCCAGGCUAGACACCAUCAGACUGCUAGUUGCCUUAGCAGCACAAAAACAGUGGUUGAUACACCAACUUGAUGUAAAAUCAGCAUUUCUAAAUGGAUUCCUUGAAGAGGAGAUUUAUGUGGAGCAACCUCAAGGUUUCAAGGUGUCUGGCAAGGAAGAAAUGGUGUACAAGCUCAACAAAGCCUUGUAUGGCUUGAAACAGGCUCCAAGGGCCUGGUAUAGUAGAAUAGAUGGCUAUCUGACCAGUCUAGGAUUUGAAAGAAGUCUUAGCGAGCCAACUCUGUAUGUUAAAUCAACUAGUGCUGAAACUCAGCUCAUUGUCUCAAUAUAUGUCGAUGACCUACUGGUGACAGGAGGAGAUCAUGAGAUGCUAAGCAGCUUUAAAGCCAAAAUGCAACAGCACUUUGAAAUGUCAGACUUGGAAUUGAUGUCUUACUUCUUAGGCAUGGAAGUAACUCAAGCUAAGAAUGGGAUUUGGCUAAGUCAAAAGACCUUUGCUAUGAAGGUUCUCAACAAAUUCUCAAUGGAGAAUUGCAAAGCAACCAGCACACCAGUUGCUAUUGGAGAAAAACUCUCGAGCCAAGACAAGCAUGAAAAGGUUUGUGAAACAACCUAUCGAAGUCUAGUUGGAUGUUUGUUGUAUUUGACUGCUACUAGACGUGACAUAAUGUAUGCUGUAAGUCUACUCUCGAGGUUUAUGCAUUGUUCAAAUGAAAGUCAUUUUAGAGCUGCAAAAAGGGUUCUAAGAUACAUCAAAGGAACCUUGUCCUAUGGAAUGCAGUUUACCAAGGCUGAGAACUUGAAGCUAGUUGGAUAUUGUGACAGUGAUUGGGCUGGUUCCUUGGAUGACAUGAAGAGCACUACAGGUUAUGCAUUCAACAUAGGCUCUGCUAUGAUUUGUUGGAGCUCAAAGAAGCAGGGAGUAGUGGCUCAGUCGACUGCAGAAGCAGAAUAUGUGGCUGCUGCUGCAGCAGUCAAUCAAGCCAUAUGGCUUAGAAAAAUUUUGAAAGAUAUCAAUCAUGAGCAAAAGGAAGCAACUGAGAUAAUGUGUGACAACCAAUCAGUAGUUGCUAUUGCAAAGAAUCCUGUUUUUCAUGGAAGGACCAAGCACUUCAACAUCAAACUUCAUGCAGUUCGAGAAAUGGAGCAAGCUCAUGUUGUUAAGCUGAUACAUUGCAGUUCUGAAGAGCAAAUUGCUGACAUUUUAACAAAAGCACUAAGUGUUUCCAAGUUUCAACACCUGAGAGCUAAGAUGGGAGUUUGCAACAUGCUAACCAAGGAGGAGUGUUGAAGUAAUGGUCAGCAUGCAGCAACCAAGACUAUCGAAGGCACUACAUGUAGAAGCUGCUGGUUCUUCAAGUCAGCAAGCUGUUUAUGUUUCAUUUUGUAAUUUUAAGUUAGAGUAAUGUAACUUAGUUGCAUUAUAACUAUGUUAGGUUUAUGUUUGAUGUAAUUUUGAUGUUGAUUGAGCUGAUAAAUCAGCUUUGUUUAUUUGUUCAAGCUAAUUAGCACAAGUUACUAUGUGUAUUAGUGGUAGUAGCUGAAGUUUAGGUCAACCUACUGUUUUGUCAAGAUUGUAAACUUGUUUUAUGUAUUGGCUUUGUGCCAUAUUUAGUUUGUAGAAUGAAAUCAAUGAAGUUUUCAUCUAUAUGCUCUCUAUUUUAGUUUUAUUUCAAAAUCUGUUUGAGUUUUCUGCUUUGUUUCUACUGCAAGUCACGAGACUUGCUCGACAAGCAUUCUGCUGAAGCUUGCUGCUGUUGCACUUAGAUCCAACAAAGGCUAAGCACAUUUAAGUUCUUGAGAGCUCCAAUAACGGUUAGGUUAUCUCCCAAAUUGCAGCAAUCUAGGCACAAUGUACUGAGGCUAGUUAGGAGACCAAUCGAUGAAGGUAAAGAAGAAAAAUGCAUGCGAGUCAAAUCUAAGACUUUAAGAUUUUUUGCUUCCUUGAAGAAGUUAUCCGACAACAUCGCCUUGCUUGACAAAAGGAAAAGAAAAAGCAGCGGGCAAUUCAACUGGUCAGGAAGCUUGUAAAUACUAGAAUGCGGCAAAAUAAUCUUGUUGCACUCUUUCAUUGACUCUCCAUUUGGCCAAUCUGUUACAAUAUCCUCAUCCUCUGUUAAAGCAAGCACUUGAUUGUCCUUUGAAGCGAUUGAUUUGGCCACAAUAUAAGUAAGAUCAUGCACAUCAAAGUAUUCCUUAUUGGAACUUUUGCUAUCAAGCAACAAACAAGAUUCUUUGAGGGUACUCAGCAUUUUUAACAGCCUAUCUCGUGCUGCUUUCAUGCUGUUGGCUCCUUUAAUUAGACCCAAACCAAGAGCAUAUCUCAACAAGCCUUCAAUCCUAACGACACGACGCAGUAAACUGCAAAGUAGGAAAAUUUGCUUGAGGUCUUCACUCGAUAAAUGAUUGAUACUCAACUCAGUAGCCGAAUGUACCUUAGCAGAUAUAUCAUCUGAGCUUUUUUCUAAGUAAGGCCUCUGUAAUUGUUGUAAAGCAUCACUCCAAAAAAAUAAAUGUUUAUUUCGCAACGCCCUUGCAACUGUAAAGCAUCACUCCAAAAAAAUAAAGGUUUAUUUCGCAACGCCCUUGCAACAGUUGCAAGGGCGAGUGGUAAUCUUGCACAUUUCUCGGCUACCUUAAUUGCUGUAGAUCGCAGCUCCUCAUCACUUUCAAAACUGUCCCCGGCCAUCUUCCUAAAGAACUCCCAAGCUUCUUCGUUUUCUAAAUCACCAAUUGCAAAGGUCUUUGUAGCAUCCAUUCCAUUGCUUAGAACAUUUUGAUCUCUUGAGGUCAACAGUAUUUUGCAUCCUUUGUGUCGACUUCCAAAUGGAAUUCCGACUUCCUCUAGAUCCAGUUUCUUCCAAAGAUCAUCCAAAAUAAUAAGAACAUUUUUAUCCUUCCUUAACCUUUCAAACAAUCUACGGGCUCUUACAACCGGACUGUUUUCUUCAAGCUUCAAACCCAAUGAGUAUGCUAUUUGGUCUUGGAUUUCCUUAAUGUCAGGAAUUCGAGAUACAAUUGCCCUGACAACUGAAUCGAAUAACUUAACCUCAUGGAGUUGUCUCUCAACUUCUUUGACCAGCGAUGUUUUGCCCACACCAGCCAUCCCGUACACUCCAAUCAUGCCUGUUGUUGCAUCUUUCAGUGACUCCAUGAUAUCAUCGAAAACCUCCUCUCUUGAUUUAAAUGCCUCAAAGUCUGGAUGGACUAUGGGUCCAGGAACAUCAUGGUAUCCCACGCCCUCAAAUUGGCAAUCUUUGAUAAGCUCAUCAAAAGUGGCAGCAGCUUCUUCAGCUUUCCUGCUAAGCUGUUAGCGAGACUUGAUGUUGGGACACAAGCCAAAGAAGCACUUGGUCUUCGCUUUGACUUCAAGAUCCUUCACUUUCUUCUCCUUUUCAGUGACAACCUUCUCCACUCGGUGGCGCCAAUCCAGGACAUCGGCUUUAAUCUUCUCCCCGUUCAUUUCUGCAACAUCAACAUCUUGCUGCACACUUGUUCUUUUUGCAAUCAACGUCCUGUGUUUCUGCUCGAACUUGUCAACAAUUUUCUGGUAGAAGAUUACAUAUGUAAUAUGACGUUUAACAUGGUGGAAAAUACCUUUGGCAGCCUCGGAAGAGACAUUGGCAGCAGCACCAGUACCAAUUGCUUCCAUUUUUAUUUUAUUUUUUUGCUUUGGGGAUACAGAUGACAGUCAGAGAGUAGAAAAAGAGGCAAGAAAGAAAAUACUAAAAGGAAAUAAGCAAGCAAGAAGAAAUCAGAAAUGAUGUGAAGAAGCCAUUAGCAGAUAAGGAAUAGAAAUUCAGAAAGGCGUGGAAUUGGAUAUGGACUGUUGUCUUUGACUCUGUUAGACUUUAGAUUAGAAAUCAAAGAACCAGCAAAAGAAAGCAGAGAAUGGAUGUGGACGGUUGCGGGUAUUUUCAGUGGAAAUUAAGUUUAAUGAUUUAACUUAUAAAAAUUACAUAAUUAUUUAUGAGAAUAUUAUAUUUUUAUUAGGGAUGUUCAUUCGGUUGACCGACCCGAAAUAAUAUUAAUUGAAUUAACCAACUUUUUAAAAUCUUUAACCGUUAACCGAACCAAAAUUUUUUAAAAAAAAUUAACCGAACCGAAAUUUUUCGGUUAAUAGAUUACUCCUAUUGUUGAUAUAUGCAACCGCACAACAUUGCAAUUAAAAAAAUUACAAGAAAAAAAGUUCAAUUUUUUAUCCUCUUACUAGAUUUAUUUGGUCAAGCAAACAAAAGAGAUCAAACUUUGUAAAACAACAAUCAUCCUCCAUCUCCUUCCCCAUUCAUCUUCAAGUUUUUCAUUGUUCUUAUACCCUCGCUCAAAUCUCACAAUCUCAAAUACUAUACCAAAUCAAUAUCCAACUUUACUAGACCCAAACUACAUCACCACUUCAUCAUCGAGCACUCAUCGCUAAACCCACAUCGAAAGACGUCUUUUUUUUUUUACAAACAUACCUAAACUCUGUUUCGCAUUUUCUUUUAAUGAGGAAAAAUCAGUUAAUGAAGCAUCACUUAGUCUUAAGCAUCUAAAUCCCUCAAAGCCCUGCAUUUUGCAGCUGAAAUAGAGCCAAAGAUGUUUCUAUAAUUAAAGGCUUUUUUAUUUGAAUCUCUCAGCCAACUAUUUGAUCAUGGUUCUAGUAGAAUUUGGUAGUGAUUGAUUCAAAAAAGUAAUUCAAAAGACUCAUUUAGUUGGGUGAGGUUUAAAGAAAAAAAAGGAAAUAUUUAUUCAAAAAAUUCAAGAAAAUUUGAGGGUUAAAUUUUGUUGAAUCCCUAAAAAAAAGGUAAAUUAAAGAAAUAUUUAUUUGAAUCCCUCAACCAAAUUCAUAUUUAAUCCUUUAUGUAAUUUUAUAUAUAUUUUUAGUAAUUUAUAUUUUUAUGUCAUUUUAUAAUAAAUUUUUAUAUAUUUUCAAGUUUUUAAAACUAUAAUUUUUUUUAAUUUGGACUAAAUUGCCAAAAUAAGCAAAUAUUGAGGGUUAAAUUUGUUGAAUUUUUAGAAUUAAGAACAAAUAGACAAAAUGUGUAAAGUGUUAAGGGUUAAUUUUGUUUUUAUAACAAGUAAAAGACGAUCAUGUCAACAUUUUGUUUAGUGACCAAGGCAUUUUAAUGGAGUGACUAAAAAUGACAAUUAAUCUAACGGGUGACUAAAUUAACAAAAACAAAUCGNNNNNNNNNNNNNNNNNNNNNNNNNNNNNNNNNNNNNNNNNNNNNNNNNNNNNNNNNNNNNNNNNNNNNNNNNNNNNNNNNNNNNNNNNNNNNNNNNNNNNNNNNNNNNNNNNNNNNNNNNNNNNNNNNNNNNNNNNNNNNNNNNNNNNNNNNNNNNNNNNNNNNNNNNNGAUGAGUGACAAAAAAUAAUAUUUCAAUACCUUUAAUGGUAAUUAUAUAACUUUUGAAAGUUGAAUGACUGAAAUACAAUUUGAAUCAAAGUUUAGAAACAAUUGGUAUAGUUUAUUCUAUUUUAUACACUUUUGAACCCUCAGUAAAUUCUUCUUAAUAUUAUUUUAGUUCUAAUUAGUUAUGAUUAAUUAAAUAAAACUAAUGUAAAAAAUUAAAUAAAACUAAAAAAAGAUUAUUAUGAUAAUAUUUUUUUAUACUUUUAAAUUUUUUAAAGAAAAAAAUUAUAAAUUAAAUAAUUAAAUACAUGUUGAAUAAUAUUAUAAUACAAGUUUAUUAUCAGUUGACCUAUAUCUAUAAUUAAAUAAUUUUUUUUAAAAAUUAACAUAUAAUUUUUUUUUAUUGGUGGGCAAUUUAGGGAAAUUUGAGUAGAAGUAGUAGGUUAAUUUUCCAAUAAAAGCCCUUUUUUUUUCAAAAUUUACCGGAAUGAGCCGAUUUUUUGAUUAUUUACCGGAAUGGGCCAUUUUCCGCGAAAUCUCAUCCACGUCAGUGCGAUGCCAGGGUACGCGCCAGGAAAUCGCGUCCACGUCAGCGCGACUUGCUGACGUGGACAGAAAUCGCGCCCUAGAGGAUGCGAUUUGCUGACGUGGCAUGAACAGUUUAUGUUUUUUAGCUUGAAAAACUUCGAAAGACCAUAACUUUUGGCUCGGUUGUCCGAUUGAGCCGAUUUUUUUAUUUCGAAUAAAUUUUUGAGAUCUACGCGCUGACAAACUCUUAGAGAUGAAUAGGGACUAAUUUGUAAAGUAUAAUUUGUUAGUUACGAGUAUAGGGACUAAAGUGUAAUUAUUUCAAAAUUAGCAUGAAAUUUUUGUAUUUAAGAAUAUUUGAAUGUUAUGGAAGGAUGAAAUUGAAUUUGAAUUGAAAAACGAAGCUUAGAUUUGAAAAUAUGACUAUUUAGGUUUUAGGGACUAAAUUGAAUAAAAUGGAAAAUUUUAGGGAACUUCUCAAAAGUGGAAUGAGCUGACUUAUACCUAUAACAGGAUGAUAUAAGACAAUUCUGUAAAAAGAGAUCCGGUGUUUACUUCAAAUAAAUGAGGAAAAUAACGAUUUGAAUGUUUCAAAAUUCAAUUUUAAACCAAAAAAAUCGAAAUUUAGGGGCAAAAAAGGAUCUUUUUCGAUGAAAAAUUUGGCAAACCGCCUACGGCUAUUUGCCAGUGCGUAGAUCUUGAAAAUUUAUUCGAAAUAAAAAAAUCGUCUCAAUCGGACAACCGAGCGAAAAGUUAUGGCCUUUCAAAGUUUUCCAAGCUUAAAAACAUAAACUGUUCAUCCACGUCAGCAAAUCGCGUCCUUGUAGGCGCGAUUUGUGUCCACGUAAGCAAAUCGCGCUGACGUGGACGCGAUGUCCUGACACGUACCCUGACAUCGCGCUUACGUGGACGCGAUUUCGUGAAAAAUGGCCCAUUCUGGUAAGUAAUUAAAAAAAACCGGCCCAUUUCGAUAAAUUUUAACGACUUUUUUUUGGUAAAAUAGCCGAAGUAGUAAUAUUUUUAUUUUCAGUUUUGAAGUUUCAACCUUAUUUUGUUUUCAGCUUGUUCAAUAAUUGAUAAGGUUGGCCACUUGUUCAAUAAUUGAGGAGGCUGGUCGUGUGGGUCUCAUGAAAUGGCACGUGACAUCAUAAUUGAUUUCCUAUUGUUUCGGUUCUACAAAAUAGUUUAUAUUUUGUUUUGCUUGAAAUUGUAAUGUGUUUCAACUCAAUUUUGGUUAAUAUCAAUUUGUAUUGGUGUAUUUAAAUUAAAUUACAGAGUAAAAAAGUAAAAAAUAAAAUAUAUUUUCUAUAUUCGAAAUUUAACAUUUCUACUUUUAUUUUUAGAAAUUCAAUUUAUCUAUUUUCGAAAUUAAAAAUAUAGAUCUAAUUGCUAUCACCGUUAAAAUUUUCUAUAAAAUUAUACAAUGACAUUUAAAAAUUAAAAAAGUUUACUUGAUAACCAUGUAAUAAUAAAAAUAAUGUUAUAAAUAUCGAUUGAGAUUUUUUUUAACACUGUACAUUUGAAUUUGUUAUGGUAAAAAAAUUUUCCCAUUUGAAUAGUAUUUUUAACAAAAAUUGACAUCAAAAUUUGGAUAACAAUUUAACUUAAAGUAAAAAACUAAAUUAUGUUAAAAACUGAACUAUACAUAUAACAACCCACAUUUAAUCCAAUCAUUAAAUCUAAAUAUACAACAUCAGAAGCAAUUUGAAGUAGCUUCUCUUUAAAAGAAACAACACAAAUAUCAAGCAUUUAUCACCUUAUACAAACAUAAACAAUUUAUCACAUUCGAAAUGAAGCGAAUUUAAAAACAUAAACAAUUUAAAACAUGUUAUAUUAAAAACUGUAAGUAAUCAUUGUAAAAGUAUAUGUAUGUACUUUUUUUUUAAUUAAAAAAUUGUUUUCUAUUUGAAAAAUUCAGUUACAGUAAUUUUUUUAGUGUAAGAUAUAAACUUUAAUAUUUUUUUAAAUGUUAGUUACUUUAUUAACCUGUUAUUAAAUUUAAUAAUGAAUAACCAAAAUGUCAUAAAUUUCUAUUCAUUUGAAAUCUUUAAAUUAAAAUAAGUAAACCAAAGAUAUUAGAACGAAUUAAUACAAAAUAAAGUAUAUUUUUAAUGAUUUUUGUUAAAAUAAAAUGAUAAAAAUAUCUUCAAAUAAUAUAAUUAUUUUACUUUCGAAAAAUUAUUUGCGUAAUUUUUUUAAUCGAUCUGGUACCCGAUUGACUCGUAACACCAACUUAGACAAAAAUUUAAAUAAUAGCUUAGAUUUAUCAAUAAUUUAUUAUAUUAUUCAUCAUAUAUUACUAGUUUAUAAUUAUUUAUAAAAUUUACUAUAUAUUAUGAAUAUAUCAUAAAGAUAAAAUUAUUUAUCAUUCAGAGAUUUUGUAACACCCAAAAAUUUUGGUGACAUAAAUAGUAAAAUUUUCUUAUUUUCAUAUCUUUUUAAACAGAAAAAAACAAUGAUUUUAUUCAAAGAAAAAAAAAGGUUAAAAAGAAGCAAAAGGGUUUUGGAAGGCAAACAAUAAAGUGUAAAGAAGCUUUAAAUGUUUAAGGUUAUUUAAAUAUUCACAUGGAAAUAUUUCAUUAAUGGAAGCAUCAAUCACAACAAUAUUUAAGGUUAUAUCUCCAUGCAUGCAUACCAUGUUGUAUCCUUCCAUCUUUGCCAAAGUAUGUAUUAAAAUAAUAUUUCAUUAAUUGGAUGUCUUUUUAAGGAUGUAAAUGAUCAUUGGUUAUGUGGGUACUCCUUGAAAGUCAGCAAGGAAACUUUAUGCGGAAUCCCGGAUCUAAACACAAGAGAAACACAAAUUAGAAAUAAAAAAUAAGAAUAAAUAAAAGUAGUUAAAUAAUAAUAAAAAAUAGAUUUACCCUAUAGAACCCUUGGUUAACUUGCAACCAAAAACGCCAAUGAUUGAGCGGCUCCCUACGAAACCCCUAGAAGAAGAACCUCUAGAAACACCAAUGAACAGGAAAGAAAUUUGAAUAUUUGCAACUCCGAAAUACCCUCGAAAGUAACAAGCUCCAAACUAAAUAGCAAGAGAAGAAUCACUCUACUCUCAAAAAUUUGCCUCACACAAAUUUGAAUGAAAACAAAUACUCUUCUUUUUAUUCCUCCUCCAAUGUGUAGAAAACAAGCCUAUUUAUAGGCAAAUUACAAGAGUAAUUGAAUCCUAAUAAAACUCUUUUAAGAGUAAUUGAAUCCUAAUAAAAACUCUUUAAAGAGUAAUUGAAUCCUAAUAAAACUCUUUAAAAUUAUCUAAGAAAAUAAAUAAAUAAUAACCUAACCAAUAAAAUUACUUAACUCAUAAAUGAUGUGUCCCAACCAAUGAGAAUUAAGCAAAUAAUAAUAAUAAUAAUAAGAUACAUAANNNNNNNNNNNNNNNNNNNNNNNNNNNNNNNNNNNNNNNNNNNNNNNNNNNNNNNNNNNNNNNNNNNNNNNNNNNNNNNNNNNNNNNNNNNNNNNNNNNNNNNNNNNNNNNNNNNNNNNNNNNNNNNNNNNNNNNNNGAUUUUAAUUGUCGUGCCUUGCUUCGAGUGAUUGGACCACUAGGAAAGACAACCCUUUGAGUGUCACCUCCUUGACUCGUAUCAUUCUCCCCCUCUUCAAGAAGAUUCGUCCUCGAAUCUGAACCUACAUCAAAUUCAAAAGGAGAAAGAUCAGAAACAUUGAAAGUAGCACUAACACUAUACUCACCAGGAAGAUCAAUGCGAUAAGCAUUGUCAUUUAUUUUCUCGAGUACUUGGAAUGGUCCAUGUCCUCGUGCAUCAAGUUUAUUCUUUCUCUUAGAAGGAAAUCGUUCCUUCCUCAUAUGCACCCAUACCCAAUCUCCAGGUUCAAACAAGACUUGCUUUCGUCCUUUAUUAACUCGAUGUGCAUUGGACUCAUUCUUUUUCUCAAUGGCUUUACGAGCCUUCUCAUGGAUCUCUUUCACUAAAUCAGCUUUCCUUUCACCAUCUAAAUUAGCAAUCUCAUUCAAAGGUAAAGGAAGCAAAUCUAAAACAGUAAGUGGAUUAAAGCCAUAUACAAUCUCAAAAUGAAUAAAACCUGUGGAAGAAUGAACAGAACGAUUAUAAGCAAACUCAACAUAUUCUUCCCAAGAUUUAACAUUCUUACCUAUUAUGGCUCUAAGCAAAGAUCCCAAAACUCGAUUUACCACAUUGGUUUGACCAUCAGUUUGAGGGUGGCAUGUAGUAGAGUAAAGUAGUUUAGUACCUAACUUACCCCAUAACACCUUCCAAAAGUUACUAAGAAAUUUUGCAUCUCUAUCGAAACGAUAGUCCUUGGGAUUUCAUGUAAUCUCACAACUUCACGGAAAAAUAGAUCGGCAACAUGGGUUGCAUCAUCAGUCUUAUGGCAUGGAAUGAAAUGAGCCAUUUUAGAAAAUCGAUCUACAACCACAAAGAUGCUAUCUAGUCCACGCUUUGUCCUUGGUAAACCUAUUACAAAAUCCAUUGAAAUGUCAGUUCAAGGUGAACUAGGAACAGGAAGAGGAGUGUAUAGACCAUGAUGCAUCACAGUGGAUUUAGCUUGUUUACAAGUAAUGCAAGUAGAGCAAAUUUUCUCAACAAGUUUUCAUAUGUUAGGCCAAUAAAAAUGCUCAUGUAAAACAUCAUAAGUCUUAGUGACUCCAAAAUGACCCAUAAGACCACCACUAUGAGCCUCUCGAACCAACAAUUCUCGUAUUGAACACUUUGGUAAGCAUAGUCUAUUAUUUCGAAAAAGAUAGCCAUCGUGCUUAUAAAAUUUGUGAAAUGUACCAUGUUUACAUGCGUCAUAAAUGCUUGAAAAAUUAGAAUCAGUGGCAUAUAAAUCUUUGAGAUACUCAAAACCUAAUAACUUAGUAUGCAAAGUACUAAGUAAAGUGUACCUCCUUGAUAGAGCAUCAGCCACAAUAUUAUCUUUACCUUUCUUAUACCUUAUAACAUAAGGAAAAGAUUCAAUGAAUUCAAC